Molecule: ribosomal RNA, 222 nt
Filed under: uncultured bacterium
Lineage: Bacteria
Description: partial 16S ribosomal RNA
Rfam family: Bacterial small subunit ribosomal RNA
Source: RNAcentral
UAAUGUCUGGGAAACUGCCUGAUGGAGGGGGAUAACGUACUGGAAACGGUAGCUAAUACCGCAUAAUGUCGCAAGACCAAAGUGGGGGACCUUCGGGGCCUCAUGCCAUCAGAUGUGCCCAGAUGGGAUUAGCUAGUAGGUGGGGUAACGGCUCACCUAGGCGACGAUCCCUAGCUGGUCUGAGAGGAUGACCAGCCACACUGGAACUGAGACACGGUCCAG